RNAcentral lists this ribosomal RNA (253 nucleotides) under uncultured bacterium. Its description in RNAcentral is "partial 16S ribosomal RNA". It matches the Rfam family "Bacterial small subunit ribosomal RNA", at positions 524 to 776 of the family's 1533-position model. The record is from RNAcentral.
UACGUAGGGUGCGAGCGUUAAUCGGAAUUACUGGGCGUAAAGCGUGCGCAGGCGGUUUUGUAAGCCGGAUGUGAAAUCCCCGGGCUUAACCUGGGAAUGGCAUUCGGGACUGCAAGGCUGGAGUGCGGCAGAGGAGACUGGAAUUCCCAGUGUAGCGGUGAAAUGCGUAGAUAUUGGGAGGAACACCGGUGGCGAAGGCGGCCCUCUGGACCGAAACUGACACUGAAGCGCGAAAGCUAGGGGAGCAAACGGG